This is a non-coding RNA of Roseburia sp. 40_7, 162 nucleotides long. The record is from Rfam. Lineage: Bacteria; Bacillati; Bacillota; Clostridia; Lachnospirales; Lachnospiraceae.
UGGUGUGGGAUAUUAGACAUUCGAGACUUUCUCACACAACCAGCAAUUCUGCGACAGGAAGUCGCAGAAAGACACCACCGCCAUGGAGGGCGGAUUGGUGUCGUUUGCGUCCGUUCCCAAUUCCAUUCCAGAGAAAGUCCGAAAAUCUUAUAUCCCAUCACC